UAUAAUGUAGUAUCCUGCCAACUGAGCUAAACUCACGGGACAAGACAUAUUGUUAUUGCACACGAAAAUGUCUUGCAAUUAUAAGCUAAAAUGUAGUAUGAGAUUAUAUAAACCAUAACAAUAAUGCAAUUUAGGAUAUUUAACAUGUGUUUAUCAUGAUACUCUUCCUCGUCUUAUUCCGCAAGAAAACGGGUAAUUAAUGUAGAGAUAUGGUGGUAGAUAUAUAUUCUUUUUAAAUAAAAUUGUCAAAUACCCAAAUAAUCUUUUUUCCUCUUUCUUUGAUAUAUUAAAUUUACGAAUAAUAUAAGAUAUUUUUUAAAAAUAUCUUUAAUCAUAUCUCUUUUGU
This 346-nucleotide long non-coding RNA is filed under the name Trifolium pratense (red clover). Its description in RNAcentral is "long non-coding RNA (TPRA_LNC008447)". The record is from RNAcentral. Lineage: Eukaryota; Viridiplantae; Streptophyta; Magnoliopsida; Fabales; Fabaceae.